RNAcentral lists this ribosomal RNA (468 nucleotides) under uncultured bacterium. Its description in RNAcentral is "partial 16S ribosomal RNA". It matches the Rfam family "Bacterial small subunit ribosomal RNA", at positions 28 to 507 of the family's 1533-position model. The record is from RNAcentral.
GACGAACGCUGGCGGCGUGCUUAACACAUGCAAGUCGAACGGAAAGGCCCUGCUUUUGUGGGGUGCUCGAGUGGCGAACGGGUGAGUAACACGUGAGUAACCUGCCCUUGACUUUGGGAUAACUUCAGGAAACUGGGGCUACUACCGGAUCGGAGCUCCUGCUGCAUGGUGGGGGUUGGAAAGUUUCGGCGGUUGGGGAUGGACUCGCGGCUUAUCAGCUUGUUGGUGGGGUAGUGGCUUACCAAGGCUUUGACGGGUAGCCGGCCUGAGAGGGUGACCGGCCACAAUGGGACUGAGAGACGGCCCAGACGCCUACGGGAGGCAGCAGUGGGGAAUAUUGCACAGUGGUCGGAAGCCUGAUGCAGCAACGCCGCGUGCGGGAUGACGGCCUUCGGGUUGUAAACCGCUUUCGCCUGUGACGAAGCGUGAGUGACGGUAAUGGGUAAAGAAGCACCGGCUAACUACGUG